AACGUACGCUGGCGGCACGCCUAACACAUGCAAGUCGAACGAAGUAGCAAUACUUAGUGGCAGACGGGUGAGUAACAUGUAGGUAUCUGCCCUUUGGCCUGGAAUAACACGAGGAAACUUGUGCUAAUACCGGAUAAGUCUUUACGGAGAAAGCUUUAUGCACCAUUGGAUGAGCCUGCACUUGAUUAGUUUGUUGGUGGGGUAAUGGCCUACCAAGACUGUGAUCAAUAGCUGAUUUGAGAGGAUGAUCAGCCACAUUGGGACUGAGACACGGCCCAAACUCCUACGGGAGGCAGCAGUGGGGAAUCUUGCACAAUGGAGGAAACUCUGAUGCAGCGAUGCCGCGUGAGUGAAGAAGGCCCUUGGGUUGUAAAGCUCUUUCGUCGGGGAAGAAAAUGACUGUACCCGAAUAAGAAGGUCCGGCUAACUUCGUGCCAGCAGCCGCGGUAAUACGAAGGGACCUAGCGUAGUUCGGAAUUACUGGGCUUAAAGAGUUCGUAGGUGGUUGAAAAAGUUAGUGGUGAAAUCCCAGAGCUUAACUCUGGAACUGCCAUUAAAACUUUUCAGCUAGAGUAUGAUAGAGGAAAGCAGAAUUUCUAGUGUAGAGGUGAAAUUCGUAGAUAUUAGAAAGAAUACCAAUUGCGAAGGCAGCUUUCUGGAUCAUUACUGACACUGAGGAACGAAAGCAUGGGUAGCGAAGAGGAUUAGAUACCCUCGUAGUCCAUGCCGUAAACGAUGUGUGUUAGACGUUGGAAAUUUAUUUUCAGUGUCGCAGGGAAACCGAUAAACACACCGCCUGGGGAGUACGACCGCAAGGUUAAAACUCAAAUGAAUUGACGGGGACCCGCACAAGUAGUGGAGCAUGUGGUUUAAUUCGAAGAUACGCGCAGAACCUUACCAACACUUGACAUGUUCGUCGCGACUCUAAGAGAUUAGAGUUUUCGGUUCGGCCGGACGAAACACAGGUGCUGCAUGGCUGUCGUCAGCUCGUGUCGUGAGAUGUUGGGUUAAGUCCCGCAACGAGCGCAACCCUCACUUUUAGUUGCCAUCAUUAAGUUGGGCACUCUGAAAGAACUGCCAGUGAUAAGCUGGAGGAAGGUGGGGAUGACGUCAAGUCCUCAUGGCCCUUACGUGUUGGGCUACACACGUGCUACAAUGGUAUCUACAACAGGAAGCAAGACUGCGAAGUUAAGCAAAUCCCUAAAAGAUACCUCAGUUCGGAUUGCACUCUGCAAACUCGAGUGCAUGAAGCUGGAAUUACUAGUAAUCGUGAAUCAGCGUGCCACGGUGAAAUGCGUUCCCGGGUCU
Molecule: ribosomal RNA, 1308 nt
Filed under: uncultured bacterium
Lineage: Bacteria
Description: bacterial SSU rRNA
Rfam family: Bacterial small subunit ribosomal RNA
Source: RNAcentral